Molecule: ribosomal RNA, 446 nt
Filed under: uncultured bacterium
Lineage: Bacteria
Description: partial 16S ribosomal RNA
Rfam family: Bacterial small subunit ribosomal RNA
Source: RNAcentral
CCUACGGGAGGCUGCAGUCGAGAAUCAUUCACAAUGGGGGAAACCCUGAUGGUGCGACGCCGCGUGGGGGAAUGAAGGUCUUCGGAUUGUAAACCCCUGUCAUGUGGAAGCAAAUUAAAAAGAUAGUACCACAAGAGGAAGAGACGGCUAACUCUGUGCCAGCAGCCGCGGUAAUACAGUGGUCUCAAGCGUUGUUCGGAAUCACUGGGCGUAAAGCGUGCGUAGGCUGUUUCGUAAGUCGUGUGUGAAAGGCGCGGGCUCAACCCGCGGACGGCACAUGAUACUGCGAGAUUAGAGUAAGGGAGGGGGAACCGGAAGUCUCGGUGUAGCAGUGAAAUGCGUAGAUAUCGAGAGGAACACUCGUGGCGAAGGCGGGUUCCUGGACAUUAACUGACGCUGAGGCACGAAGGCCAGGGGAGCGAAAGGGAUUAGAUACCCUUGUAGUC